This 366-nucleotide unclassified non-coding RNA is filed under the name rhizosphere metagenome. RNAcentral's name for it is "partial ribosomal RNA internal transcribed spacer region". The record is from RNAcentral.
GUAGGUGAACCUGCGGAAGGAUCAUUAAAAGAACUGGCUUCGGCCGGCUGCGAGAGCGAGCCUAUGGGGACGCUUGCGGCCAGGAACUUGUCGGCGCCCUCCGGCCCGCCCGAUACUCGGGCGCGUGCUCUAAACUGGAGCGGCGUACAAUCAUAUCGACGACGAGCCCGCCUGCGCCGUUUGCGCGACCACUGGCCCCGCCGACGCGUCACCCUCCGUGAAACGUCCCUUUGCUUAGGCAGCGCACCCGCGGUUUUGCCGCGGGCCGGUCAGUCUGCCCGAAGCCCCAACCAAACCACUUUUUGAACUUUUGUCCGAACCAGUCUAAUGACUUUAAAACUUUCAACAACGGAUCUCUUGGUUCUC